CCCUUAGAUGUUCUGGGCAGCACGCGCGCUACAAUGGUCUUCGCAAACGGAUGCAUUCUCGAAGGAGAAUGCCAAUCUUGGAAUCUAGGCCUUGGUCGGGACAGUUGCUUGCAAUUUUUCGACUCGAACCAGGAAUUCCUUGUAAUCGUGAUUCAUCACAUCACGAUGAAUACGUCCCUGCCCUUUGUACACACCGCCCGUCGCUCCUACCGAUCGAAGAGUUAGGUGAAUUGUUUUGAUCGAUAAGAUUUGACUAUGGUCAACUCUCGUUGUGAAAUUCUGUGAAUCUGACUGUUUAGAGGAAGGAAAAGUCGUAACA
This 319-nucleotide ribosomal RNA is filed under the name uncultured eukaryote. Its description in RNAcentral is "partial 18S ribosomal RNA". It matches the Rfam family "Eukaryotic small subunit ribosomal RNA", at positions 1470 to 1796 of the family's 1831-position model. The record is from RNAcentral.